UGCUGGUGUUUUACUCAAGCGUGACCCACCUCUUCCCAUUCCGAACAGAGCCGUGAAAGCGCUUGAGCCCGAUGAUACUAGUUGGUUCGCCGACCGGGAAAGUAGGGUACGCCAGCAU
This 118-nucleotide ribosomal RNA is filed under the name Candidatus Liptonbacteria bacterium RIFCSPLOWO2_01_FULL_56_20. The record is from RNAcentral. Lineage: Bacteria; Candidatus Liptoniibacteriota.